Molecule: transfer RNA, 69 nt
Filed under: Halicryptus spinulosus
Lineage: Eukaryota; Metazoa; Priapulida; Priapulimorpha; Priapulimorphida; Priapulidae
Description: transfer RNA-Met
Rfam family: tRNA
About the family: Transfer RNA (tRNA) molecules are approximately 80 nucleotides in length.
Source: RNAcentral
AGCAAGGUAAGCUAAUUAAGCUUUCGGGUUCAUACUUCGGCUAUAAGGGUUUAAAUCCUUUCUUUGUUG